GGUGCCAUUCUGUCAACAGUAGUGCACUACAGAGGGAAUAGGGAACCAUUCUGGUCUAAUGUAGUGCACUACAGAGGGAAUAGGGAGCCAUUCUGGUCAACAGUAGUGCACUACAGAGGGAAUAGGGAGCCAUUCUGGUCAACAGUAGUGCACUACAGAGGGAAUAGGGAACCAUUCUGGUCUAAUGUAGUGCACUACAGAGGGAAUAGGGUGCCAUUCUGGUCUAAUGUAGUGCACUACAGAGGGAAUAGGGAGCCAUUCUGGUCUAAUGUAGUUGCACUACAGAGGGAAUAGGGAGCCAUUCUGGUCUAAUGUAGUGCACUACAGAGGGAAUAGGGAGCCAUUCUGGGUCUAAUGUAGUGCACUACAGAGGGAAUAGGGAACCAUUCUGGUCAAGCAGUAGUGCACUACAGAGGGAAUAGGGAGCCAUUCUGGUCUAAUGUAGUGCCUACAGAGGGAAUAGGGUCCCAUUCUGGUCUAAUGUAGUGCACUACAGAGGGAAUAGGGUCCCAUUCUGGUCUAAUGUAGUGCACUACAGAGGGGAAUAGGGAACCAUUCUGGUCAACAGUAGUGCACUACAGAGGGGAAUAGGGUCCCAUUCUGGUCAACAGUAGUGCACUACAGAGGGAAUAGGGUCCCAUUCUGGUCUAAUGUAGUGCACUACAGAGGGGAAUAGGGAGCCAUUCUGGUCUAAUGUAGUGCACUACAGAGGGAAUAGGGUGCCAUUCUGGUCAACAGUAGUGCACUACAGAGGGAAUAGGGAACCAUUCUGGUCUAAUGUAGUGCACUACAGAGGGAAUAGGGAGCCAUUCUGGUCUAAUGUAGUGCACUACAGAGGGAAUAGGGAGCCAUUCUGGUCUAAUGUAGUGCACUACAGAGGGAAUAGGGAUCCAUUCUGGUCAACAGUAGUGCACUACAGAGGGAAUAGGGAGGCCAUUCUGGUCUAAUGUAGUGGCACUACAGAGGGAAUAGGGUGCCAUUCUGGUCAACAGUAGUGCACUACAGAGGGAAUAGGGAACCAUUCUGGUCUAAUGUAGUGCACUACAGAGGGAAUAGGGAGCCAUUUCUGGUCUAAUGUAGUGCACUACAGAGGGAAUAGGGAGCCAUUCUGGUCUAAUG
This 1119-nucleotide long non-coding RNA is filed under the name Oncorhynchus kisutch (coho salmon). Its description in RNAcentral is "lncRNA (ENSOKIG00005039884.1)". The record is from RNAcentral. Lineage: Eukaryota; Metazoa; Chordata; Actinopteri; Salmoniformes; Salmonidae.